RNAcentral lists this ribosomal RNA (323 nucleotides) under uncultured eukaryote. RNAcentral's name for it is "partial 18S ribosomal RNA". It matches the Rfam family "Eukaryotic small subunit ribosomal RNA", at positions 1470 to 1796 of the family's 1831-position model. The record is from RNAcentral.
CCCUUAGAUGUUCUGGGCUGCACGCGUGCUACACUGAUAUUGCCAAUAUGUCAUUCCUAUCCGAAAUGGAUUGGGUAAUCAAGUAAUGAAAUUUCAUGCUUGGAAUCGGUAAUUGCAAUUUUAUCGUGAACGAGGAAUUCCUAGUAAGCACUAGUCAUCAGCUAAUGUUGAUUAUGUCCCUGCCCUUUGUACACACCGCCCGUCGCUACUACUGAUUGGGUGUUCAAGUGAGAUGCUUAGACCCUUGUUGCAUGGUUCAUUAUUGUGCUCCGAAAGGAAAAAGUUUCAAGCUUGAGUGUCUAGAGGAAGUAAAAGUCGUAACA